This 609-nucleotide ribosomal RNA is filed under the name Limnebius arenicolus. RNAcentral's name for it is "partial 16S ribosomal RNA". It matches the Rfam family "Bacterial large subunit ribosomal RNA", at positions 1819 to 2726 of the family's 2925-position model. The record is from RNAcentral. Lineage: Eukaryota; Metazoa; Arthropoda; Insecta; Coleoptera; Hydraenidae.
GUCUUUUAGAUUAUAAUUUAAAGUCUGACCUGCCCAAUGAUUAUUUAAAUGGCCGCAGUAUUUUGACUGUGCAAAGGUAGCAUAAUAAUUAGUUUUUUAAUUGAAAGCUGGAAUGAAAGGUUAAACGAGAAAAUAUCUGUCUCAAUUUAAUUUAAUUAGAAUUUUAUUUUUUAGUUAAAAAGCUAAAAUUUUUUUUAAAGACGAGAAGACCCUAUAGAGUUUUAUAUUUAUAUUAUUUAUAUUUUAGAAUUUAUUUAUAAUUUAAAAUAUUUUAUUGGGGUGAUAAAUAAAUUUAAUAAACUUUAUUAUUUAAAUACAUUAAUUUAUGAUUAUUUGAUCCAUUGAAAUGAUUAAAGAUUAAAUUACCUUAGGGAUAACAGCGUUAUUUUUUUUAAGAGUUCUUAUCGAAAAAAAAGAUUGCGACCUCGAUGUUGGAUUAAAAUUAAUUUAUGGUGUAGAAGCUAUAAUAUUAGGUCUGUUCGACCUUUAAAAUUUUACAUGAUCUGAGUUCAGACCGGUGUGAGCCAGGUUGGUUUCUAUCUUAAAAUUAUAAAAAUAUUUUAGUACGAAAGGACCAAAUAUUUAUAAUAUUUAUUUAUUUUUGAAUGC